This 366-nucleotide long non-coding RNA is filed under the name Helianthus annuus (common sunflower). RNAcentral's name for it is "hypothetical non coding rna". Lineage: Eukaryota; Viridiplantae; Streptophyta; Magnoliopsida; Asterales; Asteraceae. The record is from RNAcentral.
UUCGACCAUGAACGAAUAUUUUGAAGGUGUUUCUAUAUUGUGGAGCAUAAGGCAAAUUUUAAAGAUGAUGGUCGAUGGAGGUUUAGUGUUGAGAAUUGCCUACGACCCAAAUCCUACCCCUAAAUAGGUCGUAUAUGAUGGUACACAACGUCUAACGGUUAAACAAAGAUUGAAAAUUCAAACGAACACGGUUCCAACGGAUAACUCGGAUAUAAACACACCACCCGAAUGAAUCCGAUAAGCAAACCAAACCCGUAAUAGGAUACAGUCACACCACCUAUCACGAAUAAGGGUCCAAAGAUCACAUCUCAAGAUGCUAAACUUGAGAUAGCAAUGGAAGAAUUUUAGCUCUCUAGUGGGGAAAAC